This 1447-nucleotide ribosomal RNA is filed under the name Mammaliicoccus sciuri. RNAcentral's name for it is "Staphylococcus sciuri 16S ribosomal RNA". It matches the Rfam family "Bacterial small subunit ribosomal RNA". Lineage: Bacteria; Bacillati; Bacillota; Bacilli; Caryophanales; Staphylococcaceae. The record is from RNAcentral.
GCGUGCCUAAUACAUGCAAGUCGAGCGAACAGAUGAGAAGCUUGCUUCUCUGAUGUUAGCGGCGGACGGGUGAGUAACACGUGGGUAACCUACCUAUAAGACUGGGAUAACUCCGGGAAACCGGGGCUAAUACCGGAUAAUAUUUUGAACCGCAUGGUUCAAUAGUGAAAGACGGUUUCGGCUGUCACUUAUAGAUGGACCCGCGCCGUAUUAGCUAGUUGGUAAGGUAACGGCUUACCAAGGCGACGAUACGUAGCCGACCUGAGAGGGUGAUCGGCCACACUGGAACUGAGACACGGUCCAGACUCCUACGGGAGGCAGCAGUAGGGAAUCUUCCGCAAUGGGCGAAAGCCUGACGGAGCAACGCCGCGUGAGUGAUGAAGGUCUUCGGAUCGUAAAACUCUGUUGUUAGGGAAGAACAAAUUUGUUAGUAACUGAACAAGUCUUGACGGUACCUAACCAGAAAGCCACGGCUAACUACGUGCCAGCAGCCGCGGUAAUACGUAGGUGGCAAGCGUUAUCCGGAAUUAUUGGGCGUAAAGCGCGCGUAGGCGGUUUCUUAAGUCUGAUGUGAAAGCCCACGGCUCAACCGUGGAGGGUCAUUGGAAACUGGGAAACUUGAGUGCAGAAGAGGAGAGUGGAAUUCCAUGUGUAGCGGUGAAAUGCGCAGAGAUAUGGAGGAACACCAGUGGCGAAGGCGGCUCUCUGGUCUGUAACUGACGCUGAUGUGCGAAAGCGUGGGGAUCAAACAGGAUUAGAUACCCUGGUAGUCCACGCCGUAAACGAUGAGUGCUAAGUGUUAGGGGGUUUCCGCCCCUUAGUGCUGCAGCUAACGCAUUAAGCACUCCGCCUGGGGAGUACGACCGCAAGGUUGAAACUCAAAGGAAUUGACGGGGACCCGCACAAGCGGUGGAGCAUGUGGUUUAAUUCGAAGCAACGCGAAGAACCUUACCAAAUCUUGACAUCCUUUGACCGCUCUAGAGAUAGAGUCUUCCCCUUCGGGGGACAAAGUGACAGGUGGUGCAUGGUUGUCGUCAGCUCGUGUCGUGAGAUGUUGGGUUAAGUCCCGCAACGAGCGCAACCCUUAAGCUUAGUUGCCAUCAUUAAGUUGGGCACUCUAGGUUGACUGCCGGUGACAAACCGGAGGAAGGUGGGGAUGACGUCAAAUCAUCAUGCCCCUUAUGAUUUGGGCUACACACGUGCUACAAUGGAUAAUACAAAGGGCAGCGAAUCCGCGAGGCCAAGCAAAUCCCAUAAAAUUAUUCUCAGUUCGGAUUGUAGUCUGCAACUCGACUACAUGAAGCUGGAAUCGCUAGUAAUCGUAGAUCAGCAUGCUACGGUGAAUACGUUCCCGGGUCUUGUACACACCGCCCGUCACACCACGAGAGUUUGUAACACCCGAAGCCGGUGGAGUAACCUUUUAGGAGCUAGCCGUCGAAGGUGGGAC